RNAcentral lists this ribosomal RNA (538 nucleotides) under uncultured bacterium. RNAcentral describes it as "partial 16S ribosomal RNA". It matches the Rfam family "Bacterial small subunit ribosomal RNA", at positions 355 to 883 of the family's 1533-position model. The record is from RNAcentral.
UAGGGAAUCUUCCGCAAUGGGCGAAAGCCUGACGGAGCGACGCCGCGUGAGCGAGGAAGGCCUUCGGGUCGUAAAGCUCUGUUGUCAGGGAAGAAGGCGCGCCGUUCGAAUAGGGCGGCGCGGUGACGGUACCUGACGAGGAAGCCCCGGCUAACUACGUGCCAGCAGCCGCGGUAAAACGUAGGGGGCGAGCGUUGUCCGGAAUUACUGGGCGUAAAGCGCGCGCAGGCGGUCCUUUAAGUCUGAUGUGAAAUUCCGCGGCUCAACCGCGGGUGUGCAUUGGAAACUGGGGGACUUGAGUGCGGAAGAGGGGAGCGGAAUUCCCGGUGUAGCGGUGAAAUGCGUAGAGAUCGGGAGGAACACCAGUGGCGAAGGCGGCUCUCUGGUCCGUAACUGACGCUGAGGCGCGAAAGCGUGGGGAGUGAACAGGAUUAGAUACCCUGGUAGUCCACGCCGUAAACGAUGAGUGCUAAGUGUUAGAGGGGAUUGACCCUUUAGUGCUGCAGCUAACGCAUUAAGCACUCCGCCUGGGGAGUAC